RNAcentral lists this ribosomal RNA (405 nucleotides) under uncultured bacterium. RNAcentral describes it as "bacterial SSU rRNA". It matches the Rfam family "Bacterial small subunit ribosomal RNA", at positions 354 to 776 of the family's 1533-position model. The record is from RNAcentral.
GUGGGGAAUAUUGCACAAUGGGGGAAACCCUGAUGCAGCAACGCCGCGUGAGUGAAGAAGUAUUUCGGUAUGUAAAGCUCUAUCAGCAGGGAAGAAAAUGACGGUACCUGACUAAGAAGCCCCGGCUAACUACGUGCCAGCAGCCGCGGUAAUACGUAGGGGGCAAGCGUUAUCCGGAUUUACUGGGUGUAAAGGGAGCGUAGACGGCGAAGCAAGUCUGAAGUGAAAUGCGGGGGCUCAACCCCUGAACUGCUUUGGAAACUGUUUUGCUAGAGUGCUGGAGAGGCAAGCGGAAUUCCUAGUGUAGCGGUGAAAUGCGUAGAUAUUAGGAGGAACACCAGUGGCGAAGGCGGCUUGCUGGACAGUAACUGACGUUGAGGCUCGAAAGCGUGGGGAGCAAACAGG